UGAAUACGAGACGCUACGGCGUCGAAGCAGUCUAUGUCAUACUUCCAAGAAAAGCUUGCACUGUCAUAAACAAAUAAUGCCUGUACCAUAACCGACACAGGUGGGUAGGUAGAGUAUACUAAGGGGCGCGAGAUAACUCUCUCUAAGGAACUCGGCAAAAUGACUCCGUAACUUCGGGAGAAGGAGUGCCUUAUUUAUAAGGUUGCAAUAACAAGAUCCAAGCAACUGUUUAUCAAAAACACAGGUCUCCGCUAAGUCGUAAGACGAUGUAUGGGGGCUGACGCCUGCCCAGUGCCAGAAGGUUAAAGAAGUUGGUUAGCAUUAGCGAAGCUGAUAACUGAAGCCCUGGUGAACGGCGGCCGUAACAAUAACGGUCCUAAGGUAGCGAAAUUCCUUGUCGGGUAAGUUCCGACCCGCACGAAAGGCGUAAUGAUUUGGAUACUGUCUCAGAGAGGGGCUCGGUGAAAUAGACUUGUCUGUGAAGAUGCGGACUACCUGCACCAGGACAGAAAGACCCUAUGAAGCUUUACUGUAACUUGAAAUUGAAAUUGGACUUUAUUUGCGCAGUAUAGGUGGGAGGCAUUGAUAAUAUUCUUGCGGGAAUGUUGGAGCCAUCAGUGAGAUACCACUCUUGUAAUGUUAGAUUUCUAACUUUGGAUCAUUAUCUGGUCAAAGGACAGUUUCAGGCGGGCAGUUUGACUGGGGCGGUCGCCUCCUAAAUGGUAACGGAGGCGCACAAAGGUUUCCUCUGAACGGGUAGAAAUCGUAUCUAGAGUGUAAAGGCAUAAGGAAGCUUGACUGUGAGACCUACAAGUCGAGCAGGGACGAAAGUCGGUCUUAGUGAUCUGACGGUGCUGAGUGGAAAGGCCGUCACUCAACGGAUAAAAGUUACUCUAAGGAUAACAGGCUGAUCUCCCCCAAGAGUUCACAUCGACGGGGAGGUUUGGCACCUCGAUGUCGGCUCAUCGCAUCCUGGGGCGGUAGUACGUCCCAAGGGUUGGGCUGUUCGCCCAUGAAAGCGGUACGCGAGCUGGGUUCAGAACGUCGUGAGACAGUUCGGUCCAUAUCCGGUGUAGGCGUUAGAGUAUUGAGAGGAGCCUUCUUUAGUACGAGAGGACCGAGAAGGACAUACCUCUGGUGUACCAGUUAUCGUGCCAACGGUAAACGCUGGGUAGCUAUGUAUGGAGAGGAUAACCGCUGAAAGCAUCUAAGUGGGAAGCCCACCUCAAGAUAAG
Molecule: ribosomal RNA, 1235 nt
Filed under: metagenome
Description: bacterial LSU rRNA
Rfam family: Bacterial large subunit ribosomal RNA
Source: RNAcentral